AGAAGCUUAGGUUAAUUAAAAACUCGGGACCUUCAAAGUCCCACACCAGGGGAUGAUCCCCUAACUUCUG
Molecule: transfer RNA, 70 nt
Filed under: Pachydactylus gaiasensis
Lineage: Eukaryota; Metazoa; Chordata; Lepidosauria; Squamata; Gekkonidae
Description: tRNA-Trp
Source: RNAcentral